AUUAGGAUUAAAUUGUUACGCUGGGGUAAUCACAAGACGUUAGAUCCACUUGCAAGCUUUUAAUAAGAAACAUCGUGGUCGUACAGGCAGGGGUCAAUGACAGCAAACACAACAGGGAAGAACAGGCAGAAUCAUAAUCGGUACACAGGCAGAAUGUCAGGGUAUCAAGCUGAGAAUCACAGUCCAAGAAACAAGCAAUAUAGUCCAGAAGGCAUGCAGCAGUAAUCGUAAACCAGGGAACAGACAAAAUAAGCAACAGACAGACAAUAGAAAAUGCUCAGAAGUGUAACCGUAGUACAACAAGACCUCGCCCUGAACACAAGAAAGCUAGCAGCUUAAAUACUAAAAUCCAAUGAGCUGCAGCUGGAGAGUAAUCAGAGUCCAAGGAUGGGGCUUGUGGGAAAUGUAGUGCAAUAGUCACUGUGUGUGUAUGUGGUUGUAGGAAGAGUGGCAGGUGCAGGGUGAAUGGGAAAUGGAGUUCAAUGGAUAUGUGAAGUCCAGUUUGGAGUGCCCUCUGGUGGCCAUGACGGGCACUCUCACUUGUGAUCAUGACAUAGCCCCCCCCCUUAAGGAGUGGCUUCCAGACGCUCCUAACUAAAAACAGUCCAAAGUUCAGGUGGGAGGUGGAGCGGAGGUGGAACAGGGGGAGGGAUGGAGGGCCAGGUCCACGUGGAAGUGGCAGUGCCGACAGAGCAGGAAUCCAGGGUGGAGCAGGUGGAACUGGAGCCCACCGGGGUGGCGCAGGCGGAACUGGAGCCCACCGGGGCGGCGCAGAGGACCCCCACAGCCGAGCAGACGAGACAGAAUCCCACCAGGGUGGAGCAGAGGACCACCACAGUCUAGUCGAUGGCACAGGAGAGCAAGUCUGGUCAGGUAGGACUGAAACAGAGAACAUAAACAGGUUAAUGGUGGCCUCCGUGGCCGUGAUGAGGCAGUUCGAGAGUUCCCAAACGGCCUCCAUUGCCGUGACAGAAAACUCAGGAAUGACCUCCGUGGUCAUAUCAAGGCAGACAGAAAACUCAGGAAUGACCUCCGUGGUCAUAUCAAGGCAGACAGGGAACUCAGGGACGACCUCUGUGGUCAUUUCAGGGCAGACAGAUAGUUUAUAGGCCAUAAGACUGGAUUUCUGGGCAGAAGCGGGCUCUGAAGCUGAUUCAAGGAUAGGAGCUGUCACUGAAGUAGAUUUAUUGUUUGAAGUGGAUUUGAAGACUGGAGUAGGCUCUAGAAUGGUUUUAAUGAAUGGAACACACUCAAGGACUGGAGUAGACUCAGAAGUGGAUUUAAGGGCUGGAACCGGCUCUGGGGCGGAUUCAUGGACUGGAACAGUCUCAGGAACUGGAGCCGAUGUGUGCAUAGCCCACAUAUACAAAAUGGCUGUGGCCAUGAUGACCAGCGCUGCAGUCUCUGCGAGUUCAGGCGUGGUAGCCAUUUUGGAUGAGGGCUCAGGCGUGGCAGCCAUCUCGGCUGAGGGCUCAGGCGUGGCAGCCAUCUCGGCUGAGGGCUCAGGCGUGGCAGCCAUCUCGGCUGAGGGCUUAGGCAGGUUAGCCAUCUUGUCCAUAGACACGGGCGGUGUGGCAGCCAUCUUGUCCGUAGACACGGGCGGUGCGACAGCCAUCUUGUCCGGACAUACUGGCGGUGCGGACUCAGGAACCAGGAUGGAGACAGGGCGAAGCUCUGGAAGAUCUGUAGGACUGUGAUGAAGGUCUAGAAGAUCAACUGUGACUUGACUUUGUUCAUGAAGAUCAAUGGUGACUUGAUUUGACUCAUUAAGUGUAACUGUGGAUUUACUUGACUCAUGGAGGUUAUUGGUGGCUUGACUCUGCACAUGAAGAUCCAGGGUGACUUGACUCUGCUCAUGAAGAUCCAGGGUGACUUGACUCUGCUCAUGAAGAUCAAGGGUGACUUGACUCUGCUCAUGAAGAUCAAGGGUGACUUGACUCUGCUCAUGAAGAUCAAGGGUGACUUGACCUUGUUCACGAAGAUCCACGGGGACCUGACCUGACUCGGGACGUUCAGCGGGGACGCGAAGGUGCUCUGGAUGGCCUGUGGAGACGCGAAGCGCCUCGGCUCCGGGCACCGCCUCGACCUCCGGAACGGCAUCGGGCACCGCCUCGACCUCCGGAACGGCAUCGGGCACCGCCUCGACCUCCGGAACGGCAUCGGGCACCGCCUCGACCUCCGGAACGGCAUCGGGCACCGCCUCCGGGACGGCAGCGGGCUGCUCGGGAACGGCCUCCGGGACGGCAGCGGGCUGCUCGGGAACGGCCUCCGGGCCUUGAGGAACGGUCGAUGCCUGUCUCCUCCUCCGCCCUCUAUGAUGGCGAGUCGGUGGUACCUUGUCCAGAGACUCAGGCAUUGAGUCGGCCAUCUCAUGCUGUGGCGCUGGGCUGGCGGCCAUCUCGUGCUGUGGCGCUGGGCUGGCGGCCAUCUUGUGCUGUGGCGCUGGGCUGGCGGCCAUCUUGCAAUAAGGCUCAGCUGUUGCCGCCAUUCUGUGCUCGUGCUCUAGUGCGGCUGCCAUAACAUGAGUGAGUGCGAUGUCGCGUUCCUCCUCCGCGACACCCACAGUGAAUGAAGAGCCAGCAGUCCACAGAAC
Long non-coding RNA from Cyprinus carpio carpio, 2593 nucleotides. NCBI's taxonomy places the organism in Eukaryota, Metazoa, Chordata, Actinopteri, Cypriniformes, Cyprinidae. The record is from Ensembl.